AGUGAUUUGUCUGGUUAAUUCCGAUAACGAACGAGACUCAAAUAUAUUAAAUAGAUGCUUUCAGGAUUAUGGUGUUGAAGCUUAUAUAGCCUUCAUUCAUGCGUACAUCUUGAAUGCACAAGUGUUUGAAUGUGUUUAUAUAAGUGGAGUCGUACCUGUUGGUUUGUCCCAUUAUA
RNAcentral lists this ribosomal RNA (176 nucleotides) under Rhagoletis striatella. RNAcentral's name for it is "partial 18S rRNA". The record is from RNAcentral. Lineage: Eukaryota; Metazoa; Arthropoda; Insecta; Diptera; Tephritidae.